AUUCAGAUGAUCGGUAUGCUAAAAUUUUCAUUUCAUGAAAAUAGGGCAGCAGAAGCAUAAAUUAAAAUAAUUUUAAUUUAUGGCAUACAAAAGAUCUAAUCCUAAUAUCACCAAAGGAUUUAGUUUAGACAUGCAUAAAAAUAUUCAGAUUUGAAAAAUAGAAAUAAAGAAGAAGGGAAGACCGAUUACCUUAAUCACUUUUCCAUCUUCCUGU
Molecule: long non-coding RNA, 214 nt
Filed under: Elaeis guineensis (African oil palm)
Lineage: Eukaryota; Viridiplantae; Streptophyta; Magnoliopsida; Arecales; Arecaceae
Description: long non-coding RNA (EGUI_LNC025888)
Source: RNAcentral